AUACCCUAUUAUUUUUAAUGUAAAUUUAUUAGCCUGAGUAGUAAUAGUUAAAUCUUUAAACUUAAAGAAUUUGGCGGUAUUAUAGUCUAUUUAGAGGAAUCUGUUAUGUAAUCGAUAGUCCACGUUGAACCUUACUUAUAUUAUUUCUUGUAUAUCGCUGUUUAGAAAAUACUUUCAGGUAUAAAAUUUUCUGGAUAAUAAUUAAUUAAUAAUUCAAGUCAAGGUGCAGUAAUAUAUAAGUUGUAUAAUGGAUUACAAUAAAAUGUAUUUAAACGGAUUAUGAUUUUAAUUUUGUUUUGAAGGUGGAUUUAAUUGUAAUUUUGUAAAGAUUAAUAAAAAUGAUUUUUAACUCUAUUAUAUG
Molecule: ribosomal RNA, 361 nt
Filed under: Coptopteryx argentina
Lineage: Eukaryota; Metazoa; Arthropoda; Insecta; Mantodea; Mantidae
Description: partial 12S ribosomal RNA
Source: RNAcentral